CCGCACCGCAUCUAACACAGGAAGGAGACAGAACGUGUUAACUUUCCACACUUCUUCACAUCUUUCUCUGUGCUGCACGCCUCUCUGACUGACACCCAGCAGCAAUUUCAGCAUUUGUCUUGCAGCUAGAACAUUUCAUCUGUUCCUUCACCUCUCUUACUGUCCAAAGAAUAUAUCAAAGCAGUACCCGGCAAGGCACCAUUUCUGGGACUUUCUUUGAGUGUUUCCAGAGGGAGGCAUCUGAACCAGCAGAGAAUGUAGUGAAUCAGCUUCAGUGCGCUAUCCAGUCACACAUGCCCAUGGAGAACAAAAAGGUUGCCUUGGUCAUUACGUCUCUUCACAGCAACAGAAGAGUUACUAAAACCUGCCCAGUGGUCUUCCAGAGUCUUGGGUCUUUAGCUUCAGAAUGAAGAUCAUAUUUCAGCUGUUUCCCUGGUUCUCUAUCUUCUAUGAAAUUUAUUGUGGUUAUUCCUUUAAAAUGUGAUGACCGAUCUGGGCGGUGGUGGUGCAUGCCUUUAAUCCCAGCACUUGGGAGGCAGAGGCAGGAGAAUCUCUGUGAGUUUGAGGCCAGCCUGGGCUACAUAGUGAGUUCCAGGAAAGGCGCAAAGCUACACAGAGAAACCUUGUCUCAAAAAACCAAAAAAUAAAAAUAAAAUAAACAAAAUGUGAGGGCCAAUUCCCAUCAUUAAUUUUUGUUCAUCUAUUUAUUUUCUAUUCACAUAUCUCUAUUAGUAAGACUUUAGCUAAUGUAAUAUACAUGGAAAUCAACUUAUAAAAAGGAAUUUGGGCUCACAAUUUUGGUCAAUGACCAAUUAUUAGCCCCCUUGCUUUGGUACUUUGGUGGCCCAGAUUCCAUAGUGGAAGUUGAUAGAAGAGAAAAUGUGUUUAUCUUAUGGUAACUAGACAGUGAAAGAGAAAGACACCUGUGUCUCACAAUCCCCUUCAAAGGAAUGUCCCCAGUGACCUUAAAUUGGGCCCUAUAUUAUAAAGGUCUCUACCAUCCAAUAGGGUAAACUGAAAACCAGUUAACAAACUUUAACAAAUUGCACUUGACAAUUUAACAAAUUUCAAAUUGCAUUUGAAAGGCAUUCCAGAACUAAGCUGUAGCACUGUGUCUUUAUCCAUAUCCAUCUGUCUGUCUACCUAUCUUCUUCUAUCUCCUAU
This is a long non-coding RNA of Peromyscus californicus insignis, 1164 nucleotides long. RefSeq lists it as uncharacterized. The record is from RefSeq and is a predicted model, not a curated record. NCBI's taxonomy places the organism in Eukaryota, Metazoa, Chordata, Mammalia, Rodentia, Cricetidae. The transcript is spliced from 4 exons.